RNAcentral lists this ribosomal RNA (207 nucleotides) under uncultured bacterium. RNAcentral's name for it is "partial 16S ribosomal RNA". It matches the Rfam family "Bacterial small subunit ribosomal RNA", at positions 568 to 774 of the family's 1533-position model. The record is from RNAcentral.
CACGUAGGCGGAUUUUUAAGUCAGGGGUGAAAUCCUGGAGCUCAACUCCAGAACUGCCUUUGAUACUGGGAAUCUCGAGUCCGGGAGAGGUGAGUGGAACUGCGAGUGUAGAGGUGAAAUUCGUAGAUAUUCGCAAGAACACCAGUGGCGAAGGCGGCUCACUGGCCCGGUACUGACGCUGAGGUGCGAAAGCGUGGGGAGCAAACA